GGGCUCGUAGCUCAGUGGUUAGAGCGCUCCGUUCACAUCGGAGAGGUCGGUCGUUCGAAUCGACUCGAGCCCA
Molecule: transfer RNA, 73 nt
Filed under: Parcubacteria group bacterium CG2_30_36_38
Lineage: Bacteria
Also listed under: 4 other names
Description: tRNA-Val
Rfam family: tRNA
About the family: Transfer RNA (tRNA) molecules are approximately 80 nucleotides in length. Their secondary structure includes four short double-helical elements and three loops (D, anti-codon, and T loops). Further hydrogen bonds mediate the characteristic L-shaped molecular structure. tRNAs have two regions of fundamental functional importance: the anti-codon, which is responsible for specific mRNA codon recognition, and the 3' end, to which the tRNAs corresponding amino acid is attached (by aminoacyl-tRNA synthetases). tRNAs cope with the degeneracy of the genetic code in two manners: having more than one tRNA (with a specific anti-codon) for a particular amino acid; and 'wobble' base-pairing, i.e. permitting non-standard base-pairing at the 3rd anti-codon position.
Source: RNAcentral